Molecule: long non-coding RNA, 863 nt
Organism: Biomphalaria glabrata
Lineage: Eukaryota; Metazoa; Mollusca; Gastropoda; Planorbidae
Exons: 3
Source: RefSeq, a predicted model, not a curated record
GAACAAGCUGCACAGAACAGCACAACAAAGACUAGGCUGAAGAGAAACAACACAUAGAUAGUAGUUCUAGACAGCAGAAAGAGAUUUCUGUGUCAAUGUUCAGUAUUGAAAGCUUGUCAACCAUUGGUGGUGCCUGUAUUAAAAAAAACAACAAUCUACCAAGUAUUACAUCAUAGUCUAAGAACACUUUUCUCAGAGCCCAUUGAAUAAAGUAUGAAUAAAGUCAGAGAGAACUUCUUAGCGGUCACACACAGCUGACACGAGCGGGGGAAGAGGUCAUUGUUUUAUCAGCAGCUGCUUCCUCUGCUGUGUUGUUGUGUAUCGAUCGAGAGACGUGCACAGCACGCACCACGGUUGGCACACACACACACACAGAUGCCAGUGAAUAUAAUGCCACUACAGAAGCCUGACUCACAGGCCGUCACGGGCAGACGAUCUGUUGAGCUGUUCAACGUUAAACCAUUGUCAUCGGCGAAACAGACAUGACCCAGACAGCGCGCAUUAAUGACAAUGUUUGGUCAUUAUAUGAUUUGGAUAUUUAAUCAAAUAGGUCAGCAACAUAAUGGAGUCACAGCAUUUAGGUUGGUGAAACGAGAUGAAUGCCGACACUGGUGUAACUGGCCUGAGCCCUUGAGCUGAGGUUAGUUAAGGUCAUUCCGUCUUUGGUGGAAGUAACUUAGUGAUGGUCUGUAAAAGGACGAAAGAGGUUUUAAUGUAAAUAAAAAAGGUUCCCUUGCUAUCAAUGAUUUCCUUCUAGUUCUACAUCCCCAUUUUCUUUCUGUCCUACAAACAACUACACACAUUUUAACCUCCUUUUAAACUAGAACUGACCUACAGUCUAAUUUUACUCACAUUUUAACAUC